GACCAAUGGGGAGGAAGCCACGCGCAGGGGGCGGGGCCGAAGGAAACAAAGGAGGAGGCGGGGCCGCGCCGGGGCGGGGCUGCGGGGGUCUCGCUGGGGCCGGCCCGGUGAGUCCGCGGCCCAGUCCGUUCAGAAUCUGCUCGGCAGGCUGUGUGCUCAGCCGGAACCCGAAGCUCGUUCUUCUCGUUCUCGGGCAAGCCAAGAGUCGGACUCUGAUUCAUUUCUGCGCACACAACAGAGCCCGGUGCCCUAAGGCGCUCAGCGAAUGCUAAUAGGACAGAUGGAUGAAUGGAUAAAGUCCCAUCUCCUUGUGA
Molecule: long non-coding RNA, 314 nt
Organism: Neofelis nebulosa (Clouded leopard)
Lineage: Eukaryota; Metazoa; Chordata; Mammalia; Carnivora; Felidae
Exons: 2
Source: RefSeq, a predicted model, not a curated record